RNAcentral lists this ribosomal RNA (658 nucleotides) under uncultured bacterium. Its description in RNAcentral is "bacterial SSU rRNA". It matches the Rfam family "Bacterial small subunit ribosomal RNA", at positions 44 to 703 of the family's 1533-position model. The record is from RNAcentral.
CGGAGCUACCAUGCAGCCGAGCGGUAUUGUUUCUUCUGAAAUGAGAGAGCGGCGUACGGGUGCGGAACACGUGUGCAACCUGCCUUUAUCUGGGGGAUAGCCUUUCGAAAGGAAGAUUAAUACUCCAUAACAUAUUGAACGGCAUCGUUUGAUAUUGAAAGCUCCGGCGGAUAGAGAUGGGCACGCGCAAGAUUAGCUAGUUGGUGAGGUAACGGCUCACCAAGGCGAUGAUCUUUAGGGGGCCUGAGAGGGUGAUCCCCCACACUGGUACUGAGACACGGACCAGACUCCUACGGGAGGCAGCAGUGAGGAAUAUUGGUCAAUGGGUGCAAGCCUGAACCAGCCAUCCCGCGUGAAGGACGACUGCCCUAUGGGUUGUAAACUUCUUUUGUAUAGGGAUAAACCUACCCUCGUGAGGGUAGCUGAAGGUACUAUACGAAUAAGCACCGGCUAACUCCGUGCCAGCAGCCGCGGUAAUACGGAGGGUGCAAGCGUUAUCCGGAUUUAUUGNGUUUAAAGGGUCCGUAGGCGGACUUAUAAGUCAGUGGUGAAAGCCUGUCGCUUAACGAUAGAACUGCCAUUGAUACUGUAAGUCUUGAGUAUAUUUGAGGUAGCUGGAAUAAGUAGUGUAGCGUGUGAAAUGCAUAUAUAUUACUUA